UCUUCUAUGUUCAAUAACCGACGAUCUG
RNAcentral lists this small RNA (28 nucleotides) under Bombyx mori (domestic silkworm). RNAcentral describes it as "ovarian small RNA-30151". Lineage: Eukaryota; Metazoa; Arthropoda; Insecta; Lepidoptera; Bombycidae. The record is from RNAcentral.